This 2793-nucleotide ribosomal RNA is filed under the name Dickeya dianthicola RNS04.9. Its description in RNAcentral is "bacterial LSU rRNA". It matches the Rfam family "Bacterial large subunit ribosomal RNA". The record is from RNAcentral. Lineage: Bacteria; Pseudomonadati; Pseudomonadota; Gammaproteobacteria; Enterobacterales; Pectobacteriaceae.
AGCGUACACGGUGGAUGCCUAGGCAGUCAGAGGCGAUGAAGGGCGUGCUAAUCUGCGAAAAGCGUCGGCAAGGUGAUAUGAACCGUUACACCCGACGAUACCCGAAUGGGGAAACCCAGUGUGUUUCGACACACUAUCAUGGCAUGAAUACAUAGUGUCAUGAGGCGAACCGGGGGAACUGAAACAUCUCAGUACCCCGAGGAAAAGAAAUCAACCGAGAUUCCCCCAGUAGCGGCGAGCGAACGGGGAGGAGCCCAGAACCUGAAUCGGCUUGUGCGUCAGUGGAAGCGUCUGGAAAGUCGCACGAUACAGGGUGACAGUCCCGUACACGAAGAGGCACAGACCGUGAGUUCGAUGAGUAGGGCGGGACACGUGGUAUCCUGUCUGAACAUGGGGGGACCAUCCUCCAAGGCUAAAUACUCCUGACUGACCGAUAGUGAACCAGUACCGUGAGGGAAAGGCGAAAAGAACCCCGGCGAGGGGAGUGAAACAGAACCUGAAACCGUGUACGUACAAGCAGUGGGAGCCCUGAUUUAUCAGGGUGACUGCGUACCUUUUGUAUAAUGGGUCAGCGACUUAUAUUCUGUAGCAAGGUUAACCGAAUAGGGGAGCCGCAGGGAAACCGAGUCUUAACUGGGCGUUAAGUUGCAGGGUAUAGACCCGAAACCCGGUGAUCUAGCCAUGGGCAGGUUGAAGGUUGGGUAACACUAACUGGAGGACCGAACCGACUAAUGUUGAAAAAUUAGCGGAUGACUUGUGGCUGGGGGUGAAAGGCCAAUCAAACCGGGAGAUAGCUGGUUCUCCCCGAAAGCUAUUUAGGUAGCGCCUCGUGAAUUCAUCUUCGGGGGUAGAGCACUGUUUCGGCUAGGGGGCCAUCCCGGCUUACCAACCCGAUGCAAACUGCGAAUACCGAAGAAUGUUAUCACGGGAGACACACGGCGGGUGCUAACGUCCGUCGUGAAGAGGGAAACAACCCAGACCGCCAGCUAAGGUCCCAAAGUCAUGGUUAAGUGGGAAACGAUGUGGGAAGGCCCAGACAGCCAGGAUGUUGGCUUAGAAGCAGCCAUCAUUUAAAGAAAGCGUAAUAGCUCACUGGUCGAGUCGGCCUGCGCGGAAGAUGUAACGGGGCUAAAACCAUGCACCGAAGCUGCGGCAGCGACGUUUAGGCGUUGUUGGGUAGGGGAGCGUUCUGUAAGCCGUCGAAGGUGGCCUGUGAGGGUUGCUGGAGGUAUCAGAAGUGCGAAUGCUGACAUAAGUAACGAUAAUGCGGGUGAAAAACCCGCACGCCGGAAGACCAAGGGUUCCUGUCCAACGUUAAUCGGGGCAGGGUGAGUCGACCCCUAAGGCGAGGCUGAAAAGCGUAGUCGAUGGGAAACAGGUUAAUAUUCCUGUACUCGGUGUUACUGCGAAGGGGGGACGGAGACGGCUAUGUCAUCCGGGCGACGGUUGUCCCGGUUUAAGCGUGCAGGUGGGUGGACCAGGCAAAUCCGGUCUGCUAUCAACACUGAGGCGUGAUGACGAGGCACUACGGUGCUGAAGUGACAGAUGCCCUGCUUCCAGGAAAAGCCUCUAAGCAUCAGGUAACAGUGAAUCGUACCCCAAACCGACACAGGUGGUCAGGUAGAGAAUACUCAGGCGCUUGAGAGAACUCGGGUGAAGGAACUAGGCAAAAUGGUGCCGUAACUUCGGGAGAAGGCACGCUGGGCAUGGUGAAGUCCCCUGCGGACGGAGCUGGGCCCAGUCGCAGAUACCAGCUGGCUGCAACUGUUUAAUAAAAACACAGCACUGUGCAAACACGAAAGUGGACGUAUACGGUGUGACGCCUGCCCGGUGCCGGAAGGUUAAUUGAUGGGGUUAUCCGCAAGGAGAAGCUCUUGAUCGAAGCCCCGGUAAACGGCGGCCGUAACUAUAACGGUCCUAAGGUAGCGAAAUUCCUUGUCGGGUAAGUUCCGACCUGCACGAAUGGCGUAAUGAUGGCCAGGCUGUCUCCACCCGAGACUCAGUGAAAUUGAACUCGCUGUGAAGAUGCAGUGUACCCGCGGCAAGACGGAAAGACCCCGUGAACCUUUACUAUAGCUUGACACUGAACCUUGAACCUUGAUGUGUAGGAUAGGUGGGAGGCUGAGAAAUGUGGACGCCAGUCUGCAUGGAGCCAACCUUGAAAUACCACCCUUUAAUGUUUGAUGUUCUAACGUGGGCCCGUGAACCGGGUUGCGGACAGUGUCUGGUGGGUAGUUUGACUGGGGCGGUCUCCUCCCAAAGCGUAACGGAGGAGCACGAAGGUUAGCUAAUCCUGGUCGGACAUCAGGAGGUUAGUGCAAAGGCAUAAGCUAGCUUGACUGCGAGAGUGACGGCUCGAGCAGGUGCGAAAGCAGGUCUUAGUGAUCCGGUGGUUCUGAAUGGAAGGGCCAUCGCUCAACGGAUAAAAGGUACUCCGGGGAUAACAGGCUGAUACCGCCCAAGAGUUCAUAUCGACGGCGGUGUUUGGCACCUCGAUGUCGGCUCAUCACAUCCUGGGGCUGAAGUAGGUCCCAAGGGUAUGGCUGUUCGCCAUUUAAAGUGGUACGCGAGCUGGGUUUAGAACGUCGUGAGACAGUUCGGUCCCUAUCUGCCGUGGGCGUUGGAAGAUUGAGGGGGGUUGCUCCUAGUACGAGAGGACCGGAGUGAACGCACCGCUGGUGUUCGGGUUGUCAUGCCAAUGGCACUGCCCGGUAGCUACGUGCGGAAGAGAUAACCGCUGAAAGCAUCUAAGCGGGAAACUUGCCCCGAGAUGAGUCUUCCCUGGGUCCUUGA